GAUGAACGCUAGCGGCAGGCCUAAUACAUGCAAGUCGGACGGGAUUCAGGAGCUUGCUUCUGAUGAGAGUGGCGCACGGGUGCGUAACACGUAUGUAACCUACCUUUAUCAGGGGGAUAGCCUCUCGAAAGAGAGAUUAAGCCCGCAUAAAAUCACAGCACAGCAUUGUGUAAUGAUCAAAUAUUUAUAGGAUAAAGAUGGGCAUGCGGAACAUUAGCUAGAUGGCGGGGUAACGGCCCACCAUGGCGACGAUGUUUAGGGGAUCUGAGAGGAUGGCCCCCCACACUGGUACUGAGACACGGACCAGACUCCUACGGGAGGCAGCAGUAAGGAAUAUUGGUCAAUGGGCGGAAGCCUGAACCAGCCAGGCCGCGUGCAGGAAGACGGCCCUACGGGUUGUAAACUGCUUUUAUACGGGAAUAAACCCAGAUACGUGUAUCUGGCUGAAUGGACUGUAAGAAUAAGGAUCGGCGAACUCCGU
Molecule: ribosomal RNA, 481 nt
Filed under: uncultured bacterium
Lineage: Bacteria
Description: partial 16S ribosomal RNA
Rfam family: Bacterial small subunit ribosomal RNA
Source: RNAcentral